UAAGACAGAGGUGGCGAGCGUUGUUCGGAAUUACUGGGCUUAAAGGGCGAGUAGGCGUCCCGACAAGUUAGGUGUGGAAUCUUUUCGCCUAACGAAAAAAUUGCAUCUAAAACUGUUGGGAUUGAGUCAGUGAGGGGAGGGCGGAAUUCCUGGUGUAGCGGUGAAAUGCGUAGAUAUCAGGAGGAAGGCCUGUGGCGAAGGCGGCCCUCUGGCACUGUACUGACGCUGAGGCGCGAAAGCGUGGGUAGCAAACAGGAUUAGAUACCCUGGUAGUCCACGCCCUAAACGGUGGGCAUUAGGUGUAGGGCUCGUAAGGGUUCUGUGCCGAAGGGAAACCAUUAAAUGCCCCGCCUGGGGAUUACGGCCGCAAGGUUGAAACUUAAAUGAAUUGACGG
RNAcentral lists this ribosomal RNA (395 nucleotides) under uncultured bacterium. RNAcentral describes it as "bacterial SSU rRNA". It matches the Rfam family "Bacterial small subunit ribosomal RNA", at positions 521 to 916 of the family's 1533-position model. The record is from RNAcentral.